CAGUGUGGGGGCAUAUGAGGCUCCAUCUCUCUCUCUCUGACUCUCUCUCUCUCUCUGACUCUCUCUCUCUUUCUUCCUCUCUCUUAUACAUAGAAUAGCCGUCAAUCCGUUGCUCAUAAGUCAUAGCCUCGAGAGACAGGCAGAUAGAGAGAGAGAGAGAGAGAGAGAGAGAGAUAAAACUCAGAACUUGAUAUUGUCAACAGUCAACACGAACAGCUCAUCAAAUUCUCUUUAGAAAAGAUAGUGGGUUGGUGAUUUGAAGAAAGAGGCAGGGGCAGAGGCAGAGCUUAAUUUAUGUAGCUGGGUAUUCCGGUUAUGUCUAUCGCCGGCGGCUGGAGGCUUUUGCAUUCUUCUCUGGUGGUGAUUUUGGUAAUUUCUGUUUUACAGAUUUGGGUCUGCUGCGACUGCAAAGCAGGCGCAAUACGGGUUUUCCCAGGACACACAAAUGUGUUAUCAAAGAUGGAGGCAGAGAGCAGCAACACGAUGCAGAGCAAGAGCAACAGAAGCAGAGAGGCCCUGUUCCAUAAGUACUUCGGUGGCAGUGUCAGAGCUUCUAACUUCAACAAAACAGAGCAAGGGUAUGAAGACAGCAAACGAAGAGUGCCCAGUUGCCCAGAUCAACUCCACAACUAAUUUAUGGAGGAUCCAGAAAUGGACAAUGAUGAUGAAUCAUGAUGUGCAGUGUACAGAGAGAAGUUGAGAAAUUUGGUUUUGCAGUGACCAGCUUAUAUUUUGUACUACCUGCUAUAUAGCUAGAAUCUCCGUAUCUACAACUUUUCAAGAUCCUCUCUUUCGUUUUUUAGCUUUUGCUUUUGGGAUCAGAAGAUCGAAUAUCAUAUGAGGAAGAGUGUGGCAGAAAAUUUGCAAAUUUA
Non-coding RNA from Prunus mume (Japanese apricot), 872 nucleotides. The record is from RefSeq and is a predicted model, not a curated record. NCBI's taxonomy places the organism in Eukaryota, Viridiplantae, Streptophyta, Magnoliopsida, Rosales, Rosaceae.